Molecule: long non-coding RNA, 764 nt
Organism: Dermacentor albipictus
Lineage: Eukaryota; Metazoa; Arthropoda; Arachnida; Ixodida; Ixodidae
Source: RefSeq, a predicted model, not a curated record
ACACGUGGUAUACCUCCCUACAUCAUAUUGCCAAACUCUGUUUUAUUUUUAAAGUUGCCACCUUAUCUUGUCUACGUGUACGUUUCGUAUUCCUCGCAGUCACACAGCUUCUGCUAGGCCGCCCCAUGGAACGACACCGCACAGAUCCAGCCCCGCAAUGUGCAAACUGCGCACGCUCUGCCUUCAGGAUAUAAGUGUCCCGCCGCCGGAUACACUUGGCUAUUACCUCACCAAAACCCGCGUUCUUCGUACUUCAAGCGACGACUUCCUCCUAGACGCUAGCGUGCCAGUGCAUGCCGCAAGUGACUAAAAAAAAUGGAACAGCCGAUGGUAUCGUCCAUUCCCAGUACUGUUACUCCUGCAGGCAAGGCCGCACCAGGCGUCUCUUCUACGGAUAAGACGAGGAUGCGAAUCCUGUACGAUGCGCUGAUGCCUCCUUGCCACAUCACAUUGCAAUGGCUGCAGACUUUUCUUGCGGUCAUGCUGCCUUCCUAUCCCCGUUCAUGGGUAAUCCUGUAGGGAGGCGUGUGACAGCUUCGUCUCCGAUGACCUCGUUUUUCCUGUGAAGUGGACCUGAAAUCCAACCACCAACGACAUCCAGAGAGUCUUGCGUACCUGCCAACUAGAAAAGACGAAAUUGAGCCAUUUUAGCAUGCAGCGAACAUGAUUGCUUUACCCUCACAGUGCAUUGGCUUCACUUCAGCAUUCCGCCUAUAAUCGUGUAUACACCAUAUAAAGAAAUAAAAGCGAUUGGACAGGGAAAA